Molecule: long non-coding RNA, 1047 nt
Organism: Oncorhynchus tshawytscha (Chinook salmon)
Lineage: Eukaryota; Metazoa; Chordata; Actinopteri; Salmoniformes; Salmonidae
Source: Ensembl
GGACUCUACUGGACUCUUCUGAACUCUACUGGACUCUACUGGACUCUACUGGACUCUACUGGACUCUACUGGACUCUACUGGACUCUACUGGACUCUACUGGACUCUACUGGACUCUACUGACUCUACUGGACUCUACUGGACUCUACUGGACUCUACUGGACUCUUCUGGACUCUACUGGACUCUACUGAACUCUACUGGACUCUACUGGACUCUACUGGACUCUUCUGAACUCUACUGGACUCUACUGGACUCUACUGGACUCUACUGGACUCUACGGGACUCUACUGGACUCUACUGGACUCUACGGGACUCUACUGGACUCUACUGGACUCUACUUUGCUGUCUUGUGAUCUUGUGAAACAUGUAGAUGUUGAUGAUUGGUUCAGAUUUGGGUCGAUUCGUACCAACCAAAUGUGGUCUUGUUUUGGGCAGGGGGAUAAAUCACAAGGAACACAUCACAUAUCCAUAAUGAUGUAUUUUUGUACAGGGAGAAAUGACGUCUUUCUGUUAACGUCAUUGUGCUACGGUGUUAAUCCUCUUCAACAACCAAGAGCUAGAUGGAUAUUUUUCUAACUCAAGGUGUCAUGUCAUAGCUGAUUUUUUUCUGCAGACACUUUUGAAUCUUAAUUCAGAAUAGAUAUUUAAGCGUUUUUGGGAAAACUUAGUCACAUAAAAGAUUUUACUGUAAUUCUGUUAUGAAACUACAUCCUCACUGUUCUUCAGGUAAACAAGCAAGUAGGAAGUAGGAAGUAGGAAGUAGGGAAGUAGGAAGUAGGAAGUAGGUUAUAGUAACUGGGGCGACAGGUAGCCUCGUGGUUAGUUGUGUUUUUGUGACAUUUUCAGUGGAAAUUGUUAAAAGUCGUCUUUGUAUAUAGAGUUGGAUGGUUUGUUAAAAUUUGCAAUCAAUGUUUUUUUUUGCUUGGCAUCCAUUUUAAGGUGCUCAGAACUAAGCAGCAUUCCCAUCUCUAAGAGAGAGGUUUGUAGCCUGUGAGAGGGAGGAAGAGAGAGAGAGAGGAAGAGAGAGGGAGGAAGAGAGAGAGAGAG